GGCUCAGUGGUUAAUACGACUGCCUGCGAUGCAGAAGGUUCCGGGUUCAAUUCCCGGUGGGUCA
This is a non-coding RNA of Phthorimaea operculella (potato tuberworm), 64 nucleotides long. NCBI's taxonomy places the organism in Eukaryota, Metazoa, Arthropoda, Insecta, Lepidoptera, Gelechiidae. The record is from the annotation of a GenBank genome assembly.